UUUGACGGAGAGUUUGAUCCUGGCUCAGGACGAACGCUUGCGGCGUACCUAACGAAUGCGAGUCGAGCGAGGUGGGCUCAUCCGAGCGGCUUCGGCCGUUCACCGGGCCCACCUAGCGGCAAACGGGUGAGUAACACGUGGGUAACCUACCCCCCGGUGGGGAAUAGCCGGGAGAAAUCCCGGGUAAUCCCGCAUACGCUGGCCGGUCGCAUGACUGGUCAGGAAAGGCCCUUCGGGGUCGCCGGGGGAUGGGCCCGCGGC
This 261-nucleotide ribosomal RNA is filed under the name Armatimonadota bacterium. RNAcentral's name for it is "Armatimonadetes bacterium (oil production facility metagenome) partial 16S ribosomal RNA". It matches the Rfam family "Bacterial small subunit ribosomal RNA", at positions 1 to 237 of the family's 1533-position model. Lineage: Bacteria; Bacillati; Armatimonadota. The record is from RNAcentral.